UUGGGUAGCGCAGCUAACGCGUGAAGUUGACCGCCUGGGGAGCUACGGUCGCAAGAUUAAAACUCAAAGGAAUUGACGGGGCACCCGCACAAGCGGUGGAUGAUGUGGAUUAAUUCGAUGCAACGCGAAAAACCUUACCUACCCUUGACAUGUCUGGAAUGCCGAAGAGAUUUGGCAGUGCUCGCAAGAGAACCGGAACACAGGUGCUGCAUGGCUGUCGUCAGCUCGUGUCGUGAGAUGUUGGGUUAAGUCCCGCAACGAGCGCAACCCUUGUCAUUAGUUGCUACGAAAGGGCACUCUAAUGAGACUGCCGGUGACAAACCGGAGGAAGGUGGGGAUGACGUCAAGUCCUCAUGGCCCUUAUGGGUAGGGCUUCACACGUCAUACAAUGGUCGGGACAGAGGGUCGCCAACCCGCGAGGGGGAGCCAAUCCCAGAAACCCGAUCGUAGUCCGGAUCGCAGUCUGCAACUCGACUGCGUGAAGUCGGAAUCGCUAGUAAUCGCGGAUCA
RNAcentral lists this ribosomal RNA (510 nucleotides) under uncultured bacterium. RNAcentral describes it as "bacterial SSU rRNA". It matches the Rfam family "Bacterial small subunit ribosomal RNA", at positions 839 to 1351 of the family's 1533-position model. The record is from RNAcentral.